GAUGAACGCUGCGGCGUGCCUAAUACCUGCAAGUCGAGCGAACAGAUGAGGAGCUUGCUCCUCUGACGUUAGCGGCGGACGGGUGAGUAACACGUUGAUAACCUACCUAUAAGACUGGGAUAACUUCGGGAAACCGGAGCUAAUACCGGAUAAUAUAUUUAACCGCUUGGUUCAAUAGUGAAAGACGGUUUUGCUGUCACUUAUAGAUGGAUCCGCGCCGCAUUAGCUAGUUGGUAAGGUAACGGCUUACCAAGGCAACGAUGCGUAGCCGACCUGAGAGGGUGAUCGGCCACACGGGAACUGAGACACGGUCCAGACGCCUACGGGAGGCAGCAGUAGGGAAUCUUCCGCAAUGGGCGAAAGCUUGACGGAGCAACGCCGCGUGAGUGAUGAAGGUCUUCGGAUCGUAAAACUCUGUUAUUAGGGAAGAACAAAUGUGUAAGUAACUAUGCACGUCUUGACGGUACCUAAUCAGAAAGCCACGGCUAACUACGUG
Molecule: ribosomal RNA, 496 nt
Filed under: uncultured bacterium
Lineage: Bacteria
Description: partial 16S ribosomal RNA
Rfam family: Bacterial small subunit ribosomal RNA
Source: RNAcentral